AACUGCCCCCAUGAUUCAAUUAUCUCCACCUGGUCCCUCCCAGGACACAUGGGGAUUAUGGGAACUACAAGUCAAGAUGAGAUUUGGGUGGAGACACAGCCAAACGAUAUCAUGGACUCUUCCACCGCCCUUGAGUGGGGAACAUCCAGGCCUUCACACUCACGCUCAGCCCAUCACCCCUUUGUGCAAGGUGCAAGGUCCUCUGCCCAGCUGAAGCCUCAAGGCCUGAUGGAAACCAUCCCCAGCCACUCUAGUACCUUUGACCGGAGCGUGACCCUGCUGGAGGUGUGCGGGAGCUGGCCUGAGGGCUUCGGGCUGCGGCACAUGUCCUCCAUGGAGCACACGGAGGAGGGCCUCCGGGAGCGACUUGCCGACGCCAUGGCCGAGUCACCCAGCCGGGACGUCGUGGGAUCCGGAACAGACACAGCCCUUGACGUAGCAGUAAAAACCUUCCCCCCUGAGAGACACGUGGCUGUGAAGUGUUUUGGGAAAAAAAAAGGAAAAAAAAAACAAUGCCAACAGCCCAGCGUCCGUGAGCAACCCAACAGUAACAAAGCAUGCGUUCGGGAUGGAGGAAGAACUUCAGCGAGAGGGAAGCAUCGAGACUCUGAGUAACAGCUCAGGCUCCACCAGCGGCAGCAUACCAAGAAACUUUGAUGGCUACCGAUCUCCGCUGCCCACCAAUGAGAGCCAGCCCCUCAGCCUCUUCCCGACUGGCUUCCCGUAGGUACCAGCAACCCGCUUCUGACUGGCCAGCCCCCUCCCCUGCUGGAGGAGGGGAGAAGCCCCGCUCUGGUCCUACCCUUCAGUCUCUGCUCUUCCUUCAUCAACCACCUUCCCCAAGCUUAGUGACAGCAGCCGCCCGUCCUACCUGG
This 875-nucleotide small RNA is filed under the name Pan troglodytes (chimpanzee). Its description in RNAcentral is "processed transcript". Lineage: Eukaryota; Metazoa; Chordata; Mammalia; Primates; Hominidae. The record is from RNAcentral.